Molecule: long non-coding RNA, 1702 nt
Filed under: Callithrix jacchus (white-tufted-ear marmoset)
Lineage: Eukaryota; Metazoa; Chordata; Mammalia; Primates; Cebidae
Description: lncRNA (ENSCJAG00000073350.1)
Source: RNAcentral
AGACGAGGACAGAUAAUUCAUAGGAAGAAACAGAACACUGGAGGCACGAAUGUUGCCAGUGACUUGACGCCCUUGAGUGUUGUCGCUGAGCCUUCGAGUGCAUUAUCUUCCAGCUGUGGAGGGUUCUUCAUCCCAACGGAGGAGGCUAAAACAAGCUUGGGAGCCUGGUUCCUGCUCGAUUCCAGGGAACGUGGGCAAGACAUCGUGCAUCUGAGCCAGUGGGUUGGGUCUUGGCUGAGGGUGUAAGAAUCCGUAGUGAAACCAAUGAGAAUCUUGGAAGGACCACUGGUUUCCAGAAUCAGCAUUGUCUAUGAAGCUGCAGGUGGUAAAGGAAAGGACCCUCUUGGCUAAGCCAUUCCCACAGUGGAACUCUUGAUACAGCUGUAGUCGCUGAUAACUCAGCACCAGGGUGCUUGGCUCCAUCUGUGUCUGUGAAGCCUGUGCCUCUGACAGGGGGUGGCUCAAGUCUCCACUCCAAGUCCCUUUGGGACAGGCGGCCUGGGUGAAAGCGGCUACAUCCAGAGCAGAGCACGUGAGCUGAUCCUCCAGUGAGGACGAGGUGCUGCUAUAAGGCUGGUGGCAGUCAUACAGUUCACGCUGACCUCAAGGAGUCGAGUAAAUUUCAUCCAGGGAAUCUUCUGGGGCUUCCUGCUCCUUCACCUCUAGUAACUCCUGGCUCAACCUGGGGGCACUGGUGCUUUCCCUUCCUCUUCCUCAUGAUAAUUUUGAUUUCCUGAAAGAAUGUUUAGAGUGUCCUUCCACUCAUCCUGAGAGCUUUCACUGUCUACAAUCAGACCAGAGUCAACUUUGUCUUCCUCAAAUGUGAGUUUGGUGCUUCUGUGAGGCUGGUUGGAGUUAGAAGGGCCGUAGCUGUUUGAACAAGUGGCAGCACAUUCCUCCAGUGAGUCCUGAGGGACUUCCUUUUCCUCAGCCGUCUGCACCUCGCUGGGCGCAGCUGAUUCCUGUGUUUUCUUGACCACCUCAUCUGUGUCAUCUUCCUCCUCCUCUUUAUCAUUUUCUGGAACUGGGCUGAGCUUGUUGACAUGACUCUCUGCCGGCUUUGCACCCUUUAGCCAGCUGCUCUUGGAGGUCCUGACCCUGGGACUUGUCAGGGUCAUCAGGAGUGAAGAGGGCCUUGAAAUGCUGAUUCAGUGAGCAGGAGGCAUCUCUCACUUCCCUUAACUUCUCCUGUAACUGGGUCAGCAGAUUUGCCUGAGAGUGAGCCAGGGCUUUAUAUUGCCUGAGCUCCUCAGCUUGCCUGAGCUCCUCUGCCAGCAUCUCCUCUGUGAACUACACUUUAUGCCUCAGCAGACAGUCUCUGAUGUGUUUGUAUUCUUCACACUCUCUGCACCCUGAGCAUGAAGGCCAACGGAUCCACUUGCUGAAUGGGAGUUUUCUUUUAAUCUUCUUUGGUUUCAGAACACUGGAGGCAUGAAUUUUGCCAGUGACUUGACGCCAUUGUGUGUUGUCUGCUGAGCCUUCGAGUGCAUCAUCUUCCAGCUGCGGAGGGUUCUUCAUCCCAACGGAGGGGGCUAAAACCAACUCUCUGUGCCCUGAGCAUGAAGUGUAUUUCUUCAGUUGCUUGGCCCGACAGUAGGCAGUAGCUUGACUUACAGGAAAUUUCUUUUUGAGGUCUUGGAACUGCUGUUGGCUCUCUGCCAGCUGGGAGCGCAAUUCCUGGUUGAUUUCUGGGAUGUUCAUC